GUAUAUAGUUUAUAAGACAAUGAAGUCUAAUAAUGACAUUCUGUUACAUUCUUAUGGUGUAUAUGAAAAACAUAGGCCUGGAAACUUACAAGGAAAGCUGUGAAGCAAUUCCUCACGACCGAGUUGCCUCGGAACGUUGAAUCCAGGUCUACAAAAGGUGCACAGGUGGAGAUAUAAAGAUGACAAGGUGUGCACAUGCCUUCGAAAAGACCAGCAGCAACCAAGUCAAGUUCAUUCAAUAAUGAUCCUUCCGCAGGUUCACCUACGGAAA
This 271-nucleotide unclassified non-coding RNA is filed under the name uncultured fungus. RNAcentral describes it as "sequence contains ITS1". Lineage: Eukaryota; Fungi. The record is from RNAcentral.